AUGCAGUCGAACGAGGAAAGCACCUUNCGGGUGCCGGUACUAGUGGCGCACCGGUGAGUAACGCGUGGAUAAUCUGCCCUCUGGCGGGGAAUAACUAGUCGAAAGAUUAGCUAAUACCGCAUAAGACCACAGCUUCUGCGGAAGCAGUGGUUAAAGAUUUAUCACCAGAGGAUGAGUCCGCGUCCGAUUAGCUUGAUGGUGGGGUAACGGCCUACCAUAGCGACGAUCGGUAGCUGGUCUGAGAGGAUGAUCAGCCACACUGGAACUGAGACACGGUCCAGACUCCUACGGGAGGCAGCAGUAGGGAAUAUUGCGCAAUGGGGGAAACCCUGACGCAGCGACGCCGCGUGAGUGAUGAAGGCCUUCGGGUUGUAAAGCUCUGUUCUACAGGAACAAAAAAAUGAGUGUACUGUAGAAGAAAGGACCGGCUAACUCCGUGCCAGCAGCCGCGGUAAUACGGGGGGCCCUAGCGUUGUUCGGAAUCAUUGGGCGUAAAGCGGGUGUAGGCGGAUUAGUAAGUCAGAAGUGAAAGCCCCGGGCUCAACCCGGGAAGUGCUUUUGGUACUGCUAAUCUUGAGUGUGGGAGAGGGUAGUAGAAUUCCAGGUGUAGUGGUGAAAUACGUAGAUAUCUGGAGGAACACCGGUGGCGAAGGCGACUGCCUGGCCCAACACUGACGCUCAGACCCGAAAGCGUGGGUAGCAAACAGGAUUAGAUACCCUGGUAGUCCACGCCGUAAACACUGGACACUUGUUGUUGGAGGUAUUGACCCCUUCAGUGACGGAGCUAACGCGUUAAGUGUCCCGCCUGGGGAGUACGGCCG
RNAcentral lists this ribosomal RNA (821 nucleotides) under uncultured bacterium. Its description in RNAcentral is "bacterial SSU rRNA". It matches the Rfam family "Bacterial small subunit ribosomal RNA", at positions 55 to 888 of the family's 1533-position model. The record is from RNAcentral.